Molecule: non-coding RNA, 952 nt
Organism: Styela clava
Lineage: Eukaryota; Metazoa; Chordata; Ascidiacea; Stolidobranchia; Styelidae
Source: RefSeq, a predicted model, not a curated record
AGACUAAUUUUUAGAAUUAAAUAGCGAUCAAAACUGUUAAUUUAAAUCUUCUAAAUAGCAUUUAAAUAGUUAUUAUGGAUCUGAAAUCAUGUUAAUAAAAAUCCUUCAUUGGCUGAUGAAGCCAUCGAUAUAUCUAUAACAGGUUUGAACAAAUUUCAAAAAGUUUCUCUUCAUGCCAGUUCAAAACUAGCCAAUGGGGCUGUGUUUGAAAGCACAUCACAUUACAUUGCAGAUAAUUUGGGGUGUAUCGACCUACGUUCACAUAAAUCAUAUGGAGGAACUUAUGAAGGAAUUUGGCCAAUGGGUCCGAUUAGUUUCAUGACACCGUCAUCUUUUAAUAAGCGCAAGCACGAGAGGUUUUUAAUCAAGGACCCGAUGAAGCUUUCACAAUAAAAUUGCAAGUCUUUGAUUCUUUCAUCCCAGAAAUGGUUGAAAAUACGAACAAAUAUAAAAAGUUGACUGAUUUUGACAUCAUAAGAACUUAUGUCACUCCACAAGUUAUUGAACAAGAAAUUCAUGAAGGCAAAAUUAGGGGGACCCUAUACUUGCCAACCAAGAGUGGGAAAUACCCUGGUGUGAUAAGUAUGAGUGGUGGAUAUCCUGGAGCUAUGAAACACAAAGCGGCAAUAUUAGCGUCACAUGGAUUUGUUGCUUUAGCUUUAAGAUAUUUCGGUACCGAUGAUUUGCCUCCGUGUGGAAGGCAUUGAUUUGGCCUAUUUUAUUGAAGCUGCAAGGUUUUUAAAGAAUCAUCCAAAUGUCCAAGGCAAAAAUGGUGUUGGCAUUAUCGCAAAUUGUGCUGGAGCUAUCUUUGCCCUGGCUGCUGCAACAUGUGCCCCAGAUGGACUAUUCGGCUGUGUUGUUGCAAUAAGUGGUUGGUUUUUCUCAUUUACAAAUUUUGAAUAUGAAGGCAAGAAAUGGAAAUCAAUGCUAUCAUUCAAAACUUUCAAACCUG